This is a long non-coding RNA of Terrapene triunguis (Three-toed box turtle), 670 nucleotides long. RefSeq lists it as uncharacterized. The record is from RefSeq and is a predicted model, not a curated record. Lineage: Eukaryota; Metazoa; Chordata; Testudines; Emydidae. The transcript has 4 exons.
CUUCCAGUUUCCAGGCUCUCUGCCAUGGAGUAGGAAGUGUGGAAGUCCUGGGAUGAGCUCCCACAGUCCAUGGGUGUGGGACUCAGGGGCCAGCUAUCCAGCAGCUGCUGAGUGAAAUUGACAUUUAUUACUGAGACAAGGUGGAUGAAGUAAUAUCUUUUGCUGGACCAACUUCUGAUGGUGAGAGAGACAAGCUUUCAUUACUGCUAAUACAGAACAAAACCACAUUUUGAAAUAACAAAAUUUCCUGUGAACCGGAAAUCCCACAUUUCAGCCAGCUCUAAUAAAGAUGCAAGAAUCUUACUAGCUAGAGAUGGAGAAGACCAAUAAGAUUCCAUUCAGCCCAGUUCCCAGAGGGCCAGUGCAGAGAGAGGCCUGAACGUGCGGUCAAGUGCACCCGAGAGGUUUGGAAACCAGAAGUCAAACAAAAGACCCCAAAUGUACAAUUAUUUUGUCUCAUGUCAGUCCUUGGUGUUCCCAUCCCUCCCUGAGCUGGCUGCAAAAUGAAGAUAAGCGCUGGACUGGGAGCCAUAUAAUAAUAAUACUUCGUGCUAGAGUGGGUCAGAAAUGGGUGUCCCUCCCCCACCCCCACAACAGGAAAAUUUAGACUUUUUGUUGACACAUCAAAAACCGCAAAAGAGAAUGUGGCUGAAAACUGCUAAAAAAAAAA